This 497-nucleotide ribosomal RNA is filed under the name uncultured bacterium. Its description in RNAcentral is "partial 16S ribosomal RNA". It matches the Rfam family "Bacterial small subunit ribosomal RNA", at positions 28 to 507 of the family's 1533-position model. The record is from RNAcentral.
GACGAACGCUGGCGGCGUGCCUAAUACAUGCAAGUUGAGCGCUGAAGGUUGGUACUUGUACCAACUGGAUGAGCAGCGAACGGGUGAGUAACGCGUGGGGAAUCUGCCUUUGAGCGGGGGACAACAUUUGGAAACGAAUGCUAAUACCGCAUAAAAACUUUAAACACAAGUUUUAAGUUUGAAAGAUGCAAUUGCACCACUCAAGGAUGAUCCCGCGUUGUAUUAGCUAGUUGGUGAGGUAAAGGCUCACCAAGGCGAUGAUACAUAGCCGACCUGAGAGGGUGAUCGGCCACAUUGGGACUGAGACACGGCCCAAACUCCUACGGGAGGCAGCAGUAGGGAAUCUUCGGCAAUGGACGAAAGUCUGACCGAGCAACGCCGCGUGAGUGAAGAAGGUUUUCGGAUCGUAAAACUCUGUUGGUAGAGAAGAACGUUGGUGAGAGUGGAAAGCUCAUCAAGUGACGGUAACUACCCAGAAAGGGACGGCUAACUACGUG